This 119-nucleotide ribosomal RNA is filed under the name Balaenoptera musculus (blue whale). Lineage: Eukaryota; Metazoa; Chordata; Mammalia; Artiodactyla; Balaenopteridae. The record is from RNAcentral.
GUCUAUGGCCAUACCACCCUGAAUGUGCCCGAUCUCAUCUGAUCUCAGAAGCUAAGCAGGGUCGGGCCUGGUUAGUACUUGGAUGGGAGACCACCUGGGAAUACCGGGUGCUGUAGCCC